UUGUUCUCUCUUCAACUAUACUAAAACUGGAACAAUACAGAGAAGAUUAACAUGGUCCCUAAGGAAGGAUGAAAUACAAAUUCAUGAAAUGCUCCACAUUUUU
This is a small nuclear RNA of Heterocephalus glaber (naked mole-rat), 103 nucleotides long. Lineage: Eukaryota; Metazoa; Chordata; Mammalia; Rodentia; Bathyergidae. The record is from Ensembl.